AGUCGAGCGGACAGAAGGGAGCUUGCUCCCGGAUGUUAGCGGCGGACGGGUGAGUAACACGUGGGUAACCUGCCUGUAAGACUGGGAUAACUCCGGGAAACCGGAGCUAAUACCGGAUAGUUCCUUGAACCGCAUGGUUCAAGGAUGAAAGACGGUUUCGGCUGUCACUUACAGAUGGACCCGCGGCGCAUUAGCUAGUUGGUGGGGUAAUGGCUCACCAAGGCGACGAUGCGUAGCCGACCUGAGAGGGUGAUCGGCCACACUGGGACUGAGACACGGCCCAGACUCCUACGGGAGGCAGCAGUAGGGAAUCUUCCGCAAUGGACGAAAGUCUGACGGAGCAACGCCGCGUGAGUGAUGAAGGUUUUCGGAUCGUAAAGCUCUGUUGUUAGGGAAGAACAAGUGCGAGAGUAACUGCUCGCACCUUGACGGUACCUAACCAGAAAGCCACGGCUAACUACGUGCCAGCAGCCGCGGUAAUACGUAGGUGGCAAGCGUUGUCCGGAAUUAUUGGGCGUAAAGGGCUCGCAGGCGGUUUCUUAAGUCUGAUGUGAAAGCCCCCGGCUCAACCGGGGAGGGUCAUUGGAAACUGGGAAACUUGAGUGCAGAAGAGGAGAGUGGAAUUCCACGUGUAGCGGUGAAAUGCGUAGAGAUGUGGAGGAACACCAGUGGCGAAGGCGACUCUCUGGUCUGUAACUGACGCUGAGGAGCGAAAGCGUGGGGAGCGAACAGGAUUAGAUACCCUGGUAGUCCACGCCGUAAACGAUGAGUGCUAAGUGUUAGGGGGUUUCCGCCCCUUAGUGCUGCAGCUAACGCAUUAAGCACUCCGCC
This 831-nucleotide ribosomal RNA is filed under the name Bacillus safensis. RNAcentral's name for it is "bacterial SSU rRNA". It matches the Rfam family "Bacterial small subunit ribosomal RNA", at positions 60 to 873 of the family's 1533-position model. The record is from RNAcentral. Lineage: Bacteria; Bacillati; Bacillota; Bacilli; Caryophanales; Bacillaceae.